RNAcentral lists this ribosomal RNA (538 nucleotides) under Pichia fermentans. Its description in RNAcentral is "partial small subunit ribosomal RNA". It matches the Rfam family "Bacterial small subunit ribosomal RNA", at positions 359 to 950 of the family's 1533-position model. The record is from RNAcentral. Lineage: Eukaryota; Fungi; Ascomycota; Pichiomycetes; Pichiales; Pichiaceae.
GAAUAUUAGUCAAUGAUCGAAAGAUUGAUCUAGUUACUUAGAAAGAUGAAGAUUAUAAUAUAUAAAAGAAAGAAAAUAAUAAUGAAGAAUAUAAAAUCAAUGUAUAUAUAUAAGAAUAAUGAUGAAUAUAUAUAUAGAAGUCUUAACCAAAAUUAGUGCCAGCAGUUGCGGCUAAACUAAGGAGGCAAACGUUAAUCAUUAAUGGCUUAAAGGAUCCGUAGAAUGAUAUAUAGAAAUAUAUAUUAGAGUUAAAUAGAAUAAUAAUGAAAAAUUAUAUAGAGAGAUGAAAUGCGUGGAAAAUAAUUAGACAAAUAAACGUGAAGAUAAAAUUAAAAAUUUAACUGACAUUGAGGGAUGAAGGCAUGAGUAGCAAAACGGAUUAGAUACCCGAGUAGUUCAUGCAGUAAACGAUGAAUACUAUAAAAUGAAAAAGAAAUAAGCGAAAGCUAAAGUAUUCCGCCAGGAGAGUAUAGCUUCAAAGUAGAAAUCCAAGACAAUAGACGGUUACAGUUGUAGGCAGUGGAUUGUGUUAUUUAAU